GAGGAUGUGAUGGAGGGUGAGACAGGG
Molecule: non-coding RNA, 27 nt
Filed under: Cricetulus griseus (Chinese hamster)
Lineage: Eukaryota; Metazoa; Chordata; Mammalia; Rodentia; Cricetidae
Source: RNAcentral